RNAcentral lists this ribosomal RNA (253 nucleotides) under uncultured bacterium. RNAcentral describes it as "partial 16S ribosomal RNA". It matches the Rfam family "Bacterial small subunit ribosomal RNA", at positions 524 to 776 of the family's 1533-position model. The record is from RNAcentral.
GACGAACCGAGCGAACGUUGUUCGGAAUCACUGGGCUUAAAGGGCGCGUAGGCGGGCCGCCAAGUUCGAGGUGAAAUCCUCCGGCUCAACCGGAGAACUGCCUCGAAUACUGGAGGCCUCGAGGCGGGUAGGGGCACGCGGAACUGUGGGUGGAGCGGUGAAAUGCGUUGAUAUCCACAGGAACUCCGGUGGCGAAGGCGGCGUGCUGGACCCGAUCUGACGCUGAGGCGCGAAAGCCAGGGGAGCAAACGGG